Molecule: transfer RNA, 80 nt
Filed under: Neotoma lepida (desert woodrat)
Lineage: Eukaryota; Metazoa; Chordata; Mammalia; Rodentia; Cricetidae
Rfam family: tRNA
About the family: Transfer RNA (tRNA) molecules are approximately 80 nucleotides in length. Their secondary structure includes four short double-helical elements and three loops (D, anti-codon, and T loops).
Source: Rfam by way of RNAcentral
GGGGGUGUGGCUCAGUGGUAGAGUGCUUGUCUACCAAGCAGGAGGUCCUGAGGUCCUGAACUUAACUCCAAGCACUGCCA